GGGGUAGUAGUUCAGCGGGAGAAUACCUGCUUUGCAAGCAGGGGGUCAUCGGUUCAAAUCCGAUCUACUCCA
RNAcentral lists this transfer RNA (72 nucleotides) under archaeon. RNAcentral's name for it is "tRNA-Ala". It matches the Rfam family "tRNA". From Rfam's summary of the family: Transfer RNA (tRNA) molecules are approximately 80 nucleotides in length. Their secondary structure includes four short double-helical elements and three loops (D, anti-codon, and T loops). The record is from RNAcentral.